Trichonephila clavipes is the source of this 73-nucleotide non-coding RNA. Lineage: Eukaryota; Metazoa; Arthropoda; Arachnida; Araneae; Nephilidae. The record is from the annotation of a GenBank genome assembly.
GUCCCUGUAGUGCAAUGGAUAGCGCGUUGGACUUCUAAUCCAAAGGUCGCGGAUUCAAAGCCCACCUGGGAUG